AUGGCUGCAACCACCAUGUCACUCUCUUCCCCAGCCUUUGCCGGCAAGGCAGUGAAGAACCUGCCAUCGUCGUUUCUUUUCGGGGAGGCUCGCGUCACCAUGCGCAAGACAGCGGCAAAGGCCAAGCAGGUUGCCUCCGGCAGCCCGUGGUACGGCUCUGACCGCGUGCUCUACCUCGGCCCGCUUUCUGGCGAGCCCCCGAGCUACCUCACCGGCGAGUUCCCUGGUGACUACGGCUGGGACACUGCUGGGUUAUCAGCCGACCCUGAGACCUUCGCCAAGAACCGUGAACUGGAGGUGAUCCAUUGUCGUUGGGCCAUGCUUGGUGCGCUCGGUUGCGUCUUCCCCGAGCUGCUCGCCCGCAACGGUGUGAAGUUCGGCGAGGCUGUUUGGUUCAAGGCCGGAUCCCAGAUCUUCAGUGAGGGUGGCCUCGACUACCUCGGCAACCCAAGCCUCGUGCACGCGCAAAGCAUCCUUGCCAUCUGGGCAUGUCAGGUCGUGCUUAUGGGCGCCGUUGAGGGUUACCGCAUUGCGGGCGGACCACUCGGUGAGAUCGUAGACCCGCUCUACCCAGGCGGCAGCUUCGAUCCGCUCGGCCUUGCCGAUGACCCUGAGGCAUUUGCGGAGCUCAAGGUCAAGGAGAUCAAGAACGGUCGUCUCGCCAUGUUCUCCAUGUUUGGUUUCUUUGUGCAAGCCAUUGUCACCGGCAAGGGUCCACUUGAGAACCUCGCUGACCAUCUCGCCGACCCUGUCAACAAUAAUGCUUGGGCAUUCGCCACCAACUUUGUUCCUGGGAAGUAA
RNAcentral lists this ribosomal RNA (801 nucleotides) under Triticum aestivum (bread wheat). RNAcentral's name for it is "partial small subunit ribosomal RNA". Lineage: Eukaryota; Viridiplantae; Streptophyta; Magnoliopsida; Poales; Poaceae. The record is from RNAcentral.